This 425-nucleotide ribosomal RNA is filed under the name uncultured bacterium. RNAcentral's name for it is "bacterial SSU rRNA". It matches the Rfam family "Bacterial small subunit ribosomal RNA", at positions 355 to 773 of the family's 1533-position model. The record is from RNAcentral.
UGGGGAAUUUUGCGCAAUGGGCGCAAGCCUGACGACGCAACGCCGCGUGGAGGAUGAAGGUCUUCGGAUUGUAAACUCCUGUUGCCCGGGACGAAUGGCCACGACCUAACACGUCGUGGUGUGACGGUACCGGGUGAGGAAGCCCCGGCUAACUCUGGGCCAGCAGCCGCGGUAAUACAGAGGGGGCAAGCGUUGUUCGGAAUUACUGGGCGUAAAGGGCGCGUAGGCGGCCCGCUAAGUCGAACGUGAAAUCCCUGGGCUCAACCCAGGAACUGCGUCCGAUACUGGCAGGCUUGAAUCCGGGAGAGGGAUGUGGAAUUCCAGGUGUAGCGGUGAAAUGCGUAGAUAUCUGGAGGAACACCGGUGGCGAAGGCGGCAUCCUGGACCGGUAUUGACGCUGAUGCGCGAAAGCCAGGGGAGCAAAC